Molecule: long non-coding RNA, 1224 nt
Organism: Sarcophilus harrisii (Tasmanian devil)
Lineage: Eukaryota; Metazoa; Chordata; Mammalia; Dasyuromorphia; Dasyuridae
Exons: 3
Source: RefSeq, a predicted model, not a curated record
ACCUAGUACUUCCUUGCUCCAAAAUCAGCUCCCUGUAUACUAGUGCAUAUUUUUAUUUAUUCUUUUUAUUUAUCUUUAUUCUUUUUUUUCCAGCUUUAUAUUAAUUGUUAUCUUUGUUCUAACAGGUCAGUGUUCUGAUUGUAUACAACCAUGUGAAUCAGAAACUACUUCCUGGAGCUCUCCUGAAGCUCCCACAAGAGUUGAAGGCACUUCCAGGAGCUAGGUAGGACUAUUAUACCUCAACUUGCUAUCUCAUCUGGGAACUUCCCUCAACAACUUGGGCCUUCUCUCUAUAGAAGAUCCAGUAACUCCUAUGACCAUCUCACCCUGGAACAUCCCUUUGGUGAAAUCUUCUCAGGCCUUCAUUUUGGAGAGAGACUUGGGUUGGACAGCCUUCAUUAUUCUUCUGGCUCUGCUUCUGAAUUUCUAGGUGCCAUGGCCCAGCUCAGAAUCACUGUCUGGCAUUCUCAGAGAUGACUCAAGCAGGAAGAUGAACCCAAUCAUAGACCUAGCUUGCUAGAAGACGUCUACCAUAAGAAGGAAAAGUACAAAGAAAAAGAAAAAAAGAAAAAGAAAAAUUUGUUCAGUAGCAUCCAAGAGACUUUAUGUUCUGGUAUGGCUUAAUUAUUUCCCUCCCAAGGUAAAGCAUAUUAGUAGUUAUAAUUUAAAUAACUGAAUCUUAUUUUAAGUCUUUUUGUCAAUAUAUACUCCUCCUCGGUUUUUAUUGUUUCUUCUGACUGAAGGAAAUGAGUGUCUGUUCCAUACCUGAGUACUCUUUUACUCUCUCCUCUGGGGAGACCCUGGACUAGGUCAAUACAUAAAAGAUAAGAAAAAUAUCCUAUAAGUUGUUUAGAUGGACAUUUAGCAAAUCAGAGUUUCACAAAAGAAGUCUAAGUCUUCUUUUAUGUGGUCAGGCUCUCUCUAGUGCCGAACUCAGUCUGAGUACAUGUGUGGAUAAACAGAGGCCUCCUAGUAGGAAAGGACUGGGUGCGGUGUCCCAGGCCCUUAUAUAUAGAAAUGAUUUUUAAUGUUAGAUACAUGAUUUUUAAUAUUGGCUCCAGAGAACUAAUAAUAAAACAUGUUUCAUUCCUCUUAGUACAAAAUCAACACAUAAAGCAUGUAGAUUGUAGCCUGGAGUCCUGGAGUUCCAGUCUGGAUCAUGUAUGUGAGGCUCUUCUUAUUGGUGGAGAGGAGCAUGACUUGACUGCAUUCUUUUUUUUUUCC